UAAAAGUCGUAACAAGGUCUCCGUUGGUGAACCAGCGGAGGGAUCAUUACCGAGUUUACAACUCCCAAACCCCAGUGUGAACCUCUACCUAAUCGUUGCCUCGGCGGGAUCGCCCCGGCGCGCCCCCUCCAGGGCGUCCGGAUCACACGGCGCCCGCCGCAGGACCCCCCAAACUCUCUUGCAUCUCCGGCGUCGUUUUCUUCUGAGUGGACUUUUUCCUCGCGAGAGCGGGGUGAAAAUGAAUCAAAACUUUCAACAACGGAUCUCUUGGCUCUGGCAUCGAUGAAGAACGCAGCGAAAUGCGAUAAGUAAUGUGAAUUGCAGAAUUCAGUGAAUCAUCGAAUCUUUGAACGCACAUUGCGCCCGCCAGUAUUCUGGCGGGCAUGCCUGUCCGAGCGUCAUUUCGACCCUCAGGCCCCCCUUAGGGGGACUGGUGUUGGGGGACGGCACCGCUGCGGGAGAUCUCCUCCCGCCGCCGCCGCCCCCGAAAUGCAGUGGCGGCCUCGCCGCAGCGACCUCCGCGUAGUAGCACAAACCUCGCGGCCUGGGAAGCUGGGCGCGGCCACGCCGUAAAACACCCCCCACGCGGAAACUCUUCGCACCUAGAGUUGACCUCGGAUCAGGUAG
RNAcentral lists this ribosomal RNA (627 nucleotides) under Polycephalomyces sp. 1 RMK-2013. Its description in RNAcentral is "eukaryotic LSU rRNA". The stretch from base 248 to 401 matches the Rfam family "5.8S ribosomal RNA". The record is from RNAcentral. Lineage: Eukaryota; Fungi; Ascomycota; Sordariomycetes; Hypocreales; Polycephalomycetaceae.